Molecule: ribosomal RNA, 492 nt
Filed under: uncultured bacterium
Lineage: Bacteria
Description: partial 16S ribosomal RNA
Rfam family: Bacterial small subunit ribosomal RNA
Source: RNAcentral
AGUGAACGCUGGCGGUAGGCCUAACACAUGCAAGUCGAACGGCAGCACAGUAAGAGCUUGCUCUUACGGGUGGCGAGUGGCGGGCGGGUGAGGAAUACAUCGGAAUCUACUUUUUCGGGGGGGAUAACGUAGGGAAACUUACGCUAAUACCGCAUACGACCUACGGGUGAAAGCAGGGGAUCUUCGGACCUUGCGCGGUUGAAUGAGCCGAUGUCGGAUUAGCUAGUUGGCGGGGUAAAGGCCCACCAAGGCGACGAUCCGUAGCUGGACUGAGAGGAGGGUCGGCCACACUGGAACUGGGACACGGUCCAGACUCCUACGGGAGGCAGCAGUGGGGAAUAUUGGACAAUGGGCGCAAGCCUGAUCCAGCCAUACCGCGUGGGUGAAGAAGGCCUUCGGGUUGUAAAGCCCUUUUGUUGGGAAAGAAAAGCAGCAGGUUAAUACCCCGCUGUUCUGACGGUACCCAAAGAAUAAGCACCGGCUAACUUCGUG